Molecule: ribosomal RNA, 360 nt
Filed under: uncultured bacterium
Lineage: Bacteria
Description: bacterial SSU rRNA
Rfam family: Bacterial small subunit ribosomal RNA
Source: RNAcentral
AUUGAACGCUGGCGGCAUGGCUAAAACAUGCAAGUCGAACGGAUCAGCAAUGAUCAGUGGCGGAAGGGUCAGUAAUGCGAUCGAAUGUACCCCGAGGUGGGGGAUAGGUCGGGGAAACCCGGCGUAAUACCCCAUGUCCUCUCCGGAGAAAAGAUUUAUCGCCUUGGGAGCAGCGAUCGUCCUAUCAGGUAGUUGGCGGGGUAAAAGCCCACCAAGCCGAAGACGGGUAGCGGGUGUGAGAGCACGGCCCGCGACAUCGAGACUGAGACACUGCUCGGACUCCUACGGGAGGCUGCAGUAACGAAUAUUCCGCAAUGGGCGAAAGCCUGACGGAGCAAUGCCGCGUGCAGGAUGAAGCGG